This 448-nucleotide ribosomal RNA is filed under the name uncultured bacterium. Its description in RNAcentral is "bacterial SSU rRNA". It matches the Rfam family "Bacterial small subunit ribosomal RNA", at positions 330 to 792 of the family's 1533-position model. The record is from RNAcentral.
GCCAGACUCCUACGGGAGGCAGCAGUGGGGAAUAUUGCACAAUGGGCGAAAGCCUGAUGCAGCAACGCCGCGUGAAGGAAGAAGGGUUUCGGCUCGUAAACUUCUAUCAACAGGGACGAAAGAAAUGACGGUACCUGAAUAAGAAGCCCCGGCUAACUACGUGCCAGCAGCCGCGGUAAUACGUAGGGGGUAAGCGUUAUCCGGAAUUACUGGGUGUAAAGGGAGCGUAGGCGGCCUGCCAAGUCUGAUGUGAAAUACCGGGGCUCAACCCCGGGGCUACAUUGGAAACUGGCAGGCUGGAGUGCCGGAGAGGCAGGCGGAAUUCCUAGUGUAGCGGUGAAAUGCGUAGAUAUUAGGAGGAACGCCAGUGGCGAAGGCGGCCUGCUGGACGGUGACUGACGCUGAGGCUCGAAAGCGUGGGGAGCAAACAGGAUUAGAUACCCUAGUA